GCGCUUGCCUCAGCAGCACAAAUACUGUAAUUGGAUCAGUGCAGAGAAGAAGACAUGACCCCUGAUCAAGGAUGACAUGCAAAUGCGUGAAGCAUUUCUAUUCUCU
Molecule: small nuclear RNA, 106 nt
Organism: Equus asinus (donkey)
Lineage: Eukaryota; Metazoa; Chordata; Mammalia; Perissodactyla; Equidae
Source: Ensembl